Molecule: ribosomal RNA, 349 nt
Filed under: uncultured bacterium
Lineage: Bacteria
Description: bacterial SSU rRNA
Rfam family: Bacterial small subunit ribosomal RNA
Source: RNAcentral
GGGCCCGCACAAGCGGUGGAGCAUGUGGUUUAAUUCGAUGAUACGCGAGGAACCUUACCAGGGCUUAAAUGUAGUCUGACAGCUUUAGAGAUAGAGUUUUCUUCGGACAGAUUACAAGGUGCUGCAUGGUUGUCGUCAGCUCGUGCCGUGAGGUGUCAGGUUAAGUCCUAUAACGAGCGCAACCCCUGUCGUUAGUUGCCAGCAUGUAAAGAUGGGGACUCUAACGAGACUGCCGGUGCAAACGCGAGGAAGGUGGGGGAUGACGUCAAAUCAUCACGGCCCUUACGGUCCUGGGCCACACACGUGCUACAAUGGCCGGUACAGAGAGCAGCCACGUCGCAAGGCGGAG